CCCGGCGGCCGUAAAGCGCGGUGGUCCACCUGACCCCACAUGCCGAACUCAGAAGUGAAAACCGUGCUGCCGAUGGUAGUGGGGUCUCCCCAUGCGAGAGUAGGGAACUGCCGUGC
RNAcentral lists this ribosomal RNA (116 nucleotides) under Salmonella enterica subsp. enterica. Lineage: Bacteria; Pseudomonadati; Pseudomonadota; Gammaproteobacteria; Enterobacterales; Enterobacteriaceae. The record is from RNAcentral.